Molecule: non-coding RNA, 778 nt
Organism: Podarcis muralis (Common wall lizard)
Lineage: Eukaryota; Metazoa; Chordata; Lepidosauria; Squamata; Lacertidae
Source: RefSeq, a predicted model, not a curated record
AAUCUGAUGGUAGUGAUGAGCCACGUACUGCACAGUGCUUCUGCAGAAUCUUCCACGGAUGACACAAGCACUUCCCCACCCUGUCGUUUUCCUCAGAGAUUCCUCAGAGGCUUGCCUUGUCCGGGAUUCUGCCAAAUCUGGAGAGGAUGCUGUGCUCAGGGAACAGGGAACCAACCAGAAAGCUGAUCGUUCAGAAAAAGGCUGUACAUGGUGCAGCCACAAUAAGAGUUCUUGCUUAUACAGGAAAAACCCAAACCUGUAAAGAAAACCAAAAGAAGUGUAGCCCUGUUUGCCUGAUUUCACCCCAUCAGCCGUCCGUGGGGCCAACAAUUCUGCCGGGUCACAUCUGAGAGCACCAAACCCCUUGCCUGCCAGGGAGGACAGGGUUUGGGGCUCCAUUUCUCCUCUCCCCCAGUGAGACACAGCGGAAGCUCCCUCAGAGAAGCCAUUUUGCCAGCGUCAGGAAUGGGAAGUUCAUUGCACUAAGGAGAGCUGCAGUGAUGAAGCUCACAUGGCCUAGGCCUGUCCUCACCCCCUGCAAAGACUAUUGUGGGACCACAAACCUCUCCUCUCCUGAAUUCCCUUAUGGGCAUCACAGGUGGCUGCAAGAAUGCGGCCAGAGACCAACAGGGGCUCUAACAGACAACUGUGACUUGUGGACAAUGGCCCACACACUUGACCACCCCAAGGAUUGCACCCGAGCCCUAGAAUUGCCAGCAGAGGCAACCCAGUUGACACAUCACAAAACAACAGGAAAGCCUUACCCUAUUGACCCUUG